CUUCGGGUGCUGCUGUCUUCAGAGCUGUUGUUUCUCUUCGGCUGGGUUGUGCUGUGACCGCAUAGAGCAAGGCACAUGCACAAUGAAGCAGCGAGCUAGGCUCCCUGGCUGCCAGCAGCACCCACCCCACAAGGGAAUGCCAACCCCAGGAGGCUGCUUGCCCCAGCCUGCUUCUAUGGGCUUUUAAAGCAGGAAGUUCUCCCUGAUUGGUCGGUGUGUAUGCUAAUGAGACAUGCUAGGACCACUCAUCAGGGAGCUGACAUUGGAGUAGCAGUCAUCAGUUGGGUCAGUUCGUAGACCCGAGAACAUAUGAAGAUGACAUUGUAUGUGUUUUCAUGUCUCCUCAUCCCCCAGGGUUCUUGGAGAGCUAAGGCACGUAUUGUUUUCUUUCCUGUGCUUGUUCUUUGCUUUCUGGGACCCCCGGAGUCCCUAUUGCUAGUAGGCAGAAGACUGCUACAGUCUCCUGUGUGUGAGGACGUGUAACGAAUAUUAUUUAAUAGAGAUGAUAAAUGAACCCUAAAUAAAUAGUUUACAUUUUCAAAAUGACCUUCAAGAUAUUUCCUUUAUCGAAUGUGAAAUCCAAUUUGUCUUCAGUAGGACUCUGCACUGAGUUGCUGAUGGUUUCUAUUAGAAUUUUAUAAAAUAAAACCAGUCCUUUGCAUUCUUACAUGGAGAGGAGCAGAACUGUUCUUAGGUUGCUUACUGAAAUUGUCACUUAGCUACUUUAUCAAUUACUGAGAGUAACCAGGCUGCCAGGAAAUAAAAGAGUACUGUAGCACCUGCACAUUUCAUGCAGUUGAAUAAACUCAUAAUUUUCCCGCCAUUUCAAAUGUCUGAGGAGUCAUUCGGUUAUCUCUCUUCUACUGCCCUCCUCCAUCUUUGUUAGCUAUUUCUAAUGGACAUCAUAUGGAUUGUAAUAUUAUGAAUGAAAAAUUUACAAACAACAUUGUCAUACAAUGCAAAGCAAAUCCAAUUUAAGCUACCGUCCACCCACCUACUGAUUUGUGAGGCCAAUCUAAUUAUUGCAUCUAUGAAGAGUGACCAGGCAGUCUAGAAUUCAGUAUAAGUUUCAGCCAAAGUUCUAGAUACAGUAAGAAUUAGCCAAAGCAAAUACAAAAAAAAAAAAAAAAAAAAAAAAAAAAACAAACAAACAAAACUUCCAUAGACUGGAGCAGGCAUCUCAACAUAGCACAUGAUAGCAUCACACAAGAGAUGGUGCUGGUGGAAGUACAAUUCAAUGAAACCAAACCACUCCACUAAGUUACAAAUGAGCAGUCUGGUCUAGAGAUUUCUAAAGAAUUUCUGGAUCUUAGAAAGUUUACGAGACACGCAUUAUACAAACCCAUCGUAUUCACUACACACUUCACCUGGAGCUACCUUAAGCUACUCGGAAGCAUCCAAACUAUCAUAGACAGACAUGAGUAUCAGGGCAGAUACUCUGCAGAAAGACCAGAGAUACAGGGUCUGAGGCUGCAGAGCAUCUGGGUUAAGAGCCUGCAGUUGGAGAUCUACUUCCAAUCUCAUUGUUUUCACUUCCUUGGUGCGAGUCAUCCUGUACCCUUUAUAAGCUCAAUGACUCUCCCAAUUAUAAGAUGAAUGUAGUACUAGCUCACUUGCUAGAGGUUUACAGGAGGUUAAAUCAAAUAUUCUAAUAAAUUGCAUAUGACAGCACCACAUAAUGCACACUCAUAAUUGUUAUUUGUGAUCAUUAUUAACUAUGUUGACUGGGUAAUGUAAGAAAUAAGACUUUGAAAGUGACCUUAAAGCUGAUGAGCUGUAAGAAAAUACUACAAACUGUAGAUAGGCAGUAUUGUUUCUCAUUUAUUAUUUACAUGUUUAUGUUAUAUUAUUUAUUGCAGACUACCCACUUGAUGUUUUCCCUUACUGCACGGGUUCAAUUAAUGGUUAAGCAUCCACUCUGUUAAGGAAGGGAUGGGCUCCAUGUCUAAUUUGUGAUAGACAGUGACAAUCCCAAAGAGUAAUAGAGCAGCGUUUAUAUCAUGUAGGAACCUGGAGAUAAAUUAUUUGAAUAAUAUGAUAAAUGCUUUAAUUUGAUACAAAGGAGGUGGUAAGGAAGUACGGAAAGAGAGGUACUGGUUUUGCAAGGCAGCAUGGAGAACCUUCUAAGGAAAGUGGUUUGUGAAGCUGAUACUGAGGUCUGCCCAGUGAGCAGAGGAAAAGAGCACCCCUGGAAGGUGAAAUAACACACAGACAAGUGAAAAUCAAAGUCAGAAGGGCGCCAACGACUCCCAACAGCUGCAGUCUGACAUGGCUAGACAGUCAGGCGAGAACGCAGGCAGGUAGACCAGAAAGGUGAACCCGCACAGACUCCAUCUUGAAGGCCACCAGAUGAAACUACCAUUGGAGAGAAAGAGAUAAAACAGCAAAAAGACCCCUAAGAGUGCUAGCGAGAGUUGGUGGGAUGCUAGCACAACAUGGUAAGGAGGAGUGGAGAGUAAGUGGCAACUUGACACUGGCAAAUGGACAGAAUUUAGUCAUUCUUGGGACAGGACAUGGAACAGAAGUCAGAGUGUUGUCCUAUUACUAUGUACAUAUGCAUCAGAGUCACUCAAUAAAUCCACUGGGAUAGAGCAAAAAUAUAAUUUCAUUCAACAAUAUUUAAAAUCUCAUUCAUUUUAAAUUUUGAUCUUUGUUCCUUAUUAUACAUAUAACAGUAAGAGCAUCUAUUGUGAAUAAUUUAAAUAUAUUUGUGUCUGUGUACAGUAUGCUCAAAAUUUUUUUUACUAAUAAAGAUGUACAAUUAGAAAGGCUAGAGAUCAUUAUCUUAGUAAAAGCUUGUGUUUGGAUGGAGUGAAGUAUGGUACUAUUAAAGGAAACAUUUCCCAAAUGUUAAAGGUUGUAGUCUAAAACAGUCAUCUUUAACUUCUCACCGUCUCACUUCGACUGCCUGAUAUAAACAUCAAGAAAGGUUGACAGACCCUUUUCAACUUUAUCCUGGACAACUGUGGCUCAACUCUUUCUUAGUACAGAAGUGAAUUUAAACUGCAUGUGUAAUCAGUUUUUCCCCUUGCUCAAUAGUUUGGAUAGAUGACCUGUAUGUUUGGACUCCAGCUCAAAGAAUUAAACCAAUAUAAAUUAAGUGCAUCAGCAUCCAAUUUACACACACAUUUGGGAGAGAGAAACAACCUUGCUAAUGUCAACAGUAUGACUCAGUAAGUUGGGAUAAAUAGAAGUGCCGGGACUAAAGUUGGUAGGUUGAAAAGCAAAGGAUUUGGCUUAGCAUCUAAGACAAGGCAUGGGACGCCUGCAUCCCAUGUUCAAGUGCCUGGGUUCAAGUCCCAGCUUCUCUCCCAACGCCAGCCUCCUGCUAAUUGCAUCUUGGGAGGCAGUGGCAGCAGGUUGGAGCACCUGGGUCCCUAUCACCCACAUGGGAGACCUCAACUGAGUUCUGUGCUCCUAGCUCGAGCCUGGCCCAGCCCUGGCUGUCAUGGCCACGGGGGAAGUAAACCAGGAAAUGACUGAUCUCCUUCUGUUUCUUUCAAAAAAAAAAAUAGCAUACAGCUGAGGAAGCUCUGAGGGAGAAGGGUCUUGGAUAGUUUACAGAGUGGGAUUCGGAAGUGACAGAGGGACUGGCCUGAGGCGUGCAGAAGAGGGCAACAGUACCUUAGAUCUGAUUCCUCACCCCUCACUGGGGGAGUCUUCUCAGCCUUGGCUCACCUAGCAUCUGUAAGUCUUCUGACUUUCUGCUUUGAAACAAUCUGCACUUUUGACGUAGUGCAUUUUAUGAAAAAGAUGCACUUGAGGUUGUCCGAACCCUUAGGAGCUCCCAGGCUCAGCUUGCUCAUAAAAGUAAUAAAAAAUAAAAACAUGUACAAUAGAGAAAAGCUAUCAAUAGAAAAAAAUGGUGGAUGGCACUGGCAGAAAAUAAAGGAAAAGAAAUUUCAACUACACUUGAAAUAUUCAAGGAAGCAGAAAUCUACUUAGUACCCUAAGGAGAGAGUUAAGACAAUAGUCAACUGUUGAUUGAAUAUGACAAUGCAAAAAAAAAAAAAAAAAAAAACAGAGCCACUUUGUCUAAAUGAUUAUACAAAUGAAAAUUUGGAGUCCAAAUAACUGAUCCUGCAGCAGGCAUGUGGUACAGUGGGCUACGUCACUGCAUAGGAUGCCUGCAUCUCCUUUUAGGGGCUGUGGCUACAGUCCUAGCUACUCUGUUUCAGAUCCAACUUCUUACUGAUGUGUAACCUGGGAGGCAGCAGAUGAUGGAUCAAGUACUUGUGUUUAUGAAGCCCACAUGGGAGACCCAGAUGGAGUUCCAGACUCGUGGAUUCAUGCUGGCCCAGCCCUGGCUGUUGCACUCACUUGGCCAGAGAAGAUCCCGAUCUCUCUCUCUUCCUCACCCCGCAUGUUCCUCUCCUUCUACCUCUCCUUCUCCCUAUUCUUUCUCCCUUUCAAAUCAAGUAAGAUAAUCCUUGGGAAAUAUUUAAAAAAUAAACAUCAUCCAUGCAGGUGGUAGACCAAAAGUACACACGGUACCCAGCUGCUCUACGUACUUUUCCAAGGAUGUGUUCAAGUUACAGGAUCCAGAUCUAUCAGCUUCUUUCCCAGUGGAUGCUUUACCACAAACCAGACUGAGUCACGAGGACCCAAAGCAAAAUGCAGCAAAUGCGUGCACUCAGAGGAGUUCAAGGACCCCUGACUAAAUGAGCUGACAUGAGGGUUCCAGCUAUGAAUAAACACAGUUAGGCUCUCAAUGCUCACGCAAAUGAGAACAUCAUCGAGAGCUGAGGGAGGAGAAUUGUUGCUGAAAUUUCAGGAGCUUGUUGCUUCUCAGAGAGAUACACAUGGCUCUUAGGAAUCUAAGUUUGGAGAGUGAAGAAUUCAGCAACAGAUGCUCAAUACACUGCUUGGCAAAUUUUAUUUUCCACUUAAAUCUGCACCUGGGGGAAUGAAAAAAAAGGGAAAAUCAUUUUUUGAAAAGGGCAUUAGCUAUACACGACAUUGGGAAGGAGGCGUGCAGCAUGGCUGUUUAUCUUGUAGCAAAGGAGGCAGCAGAGGGUAAUCUGAGCGUUUGCAAACCACAUCCACGGGAGAUAAAUGAAGCCCUUUAACACGAGGGCAGGGGGCUGAAAAGUGCCCCAAAAAAUGCUUCCCUGGUUCCCGUACCCUCGUUCUAACUGCUGGUAGUAGCGUUGUAGCCAAGAUCUGAGGCUUAAAGAGAGUGGAACUAACUUUUUCCAAUCACAAUCACAGAGCUAUUGUCAUCCAAAGGAGUACACAAAUUCAUCAGCCUAGCACCUCUUCUGGGGCUGCUAAGGCAGCCUCCAGGAGAGCAAGAUUUCAGGGGAAGAAGGAGUUGCCUGCUCAUGUCGAAGGCUCCACUAGGAGUUGUGAUCCACUCAAAGAGGCACAUCUACAAAGGGGCGGUAGGCGGUGACAAUGAGAUAUUUCACUAUUAAAUGAAUGAACUACCUGGUUUUUACACAGAAGUUGAUCUUACCUCUUUUGUAAUAGUGACAUCAGCCAAGAAUUAAAUGUCACAUUUCCAUGAACACACAGAUUGAUUUUUAAAUUGCUGUCUGCAUGAUAUAUGAUUAGCAUUUCUUUGCUAACUUGAGAGGUACAAAUUCAGUGGCAAAAGCUGUGUCACCGCUGUGGUAACUGUCGACUCAGACUAGUGAUUUUACCCAUCCUACCUAAUACUGGGGGUCAUAUACACGGGGUGGGUGACUAUCACUGGCUCCUGGGCAAGACUUUUAUCUAAACUGCACACAUGGUGUCUGUCACCCAUCUUGACCAGAGCAGGAAAUGCUAGGGUGCCAAGGAGUAGACUGGCAGUAAAGAAAAUUCUUGCAGCGAUUCAACCACUCCCUUACUACCAGUAGACAAUAUGGAAAUGGAAUCUAGUCCUCCGGUUUACCACGCUGGCAUUCAGCAAGAUUUUCCUUAGAGUAAAUCGUCUUUUCAGUGCACUCAAUUGUACCUGGGAGAUUGAAACAGGGGCCACAGGUUCCCCAAAGCAUCUAGAGGGUGAUCGGGUCGUCGUGGAGACAUUAAAAGAAUGUGUCUCUACUGAAGAGCAACAGAACCAAGUUAUCACCAAGACUCAGUGCAACAGCAGUGUGUUUUUCCAGCACUGGGAAAAAAGGAUGACCAUUCAUUUCCUGAGAGUAUGGUAGCUGAAGCCAAUCUUCAGCAUGUGGAUCUAGAGCUAAACUAUCCAGUUCUGCUUGCUGGUACCCUUCAAAUUCAGACAAAGUUAUUUACCUUAUCUAUGACAUAAACUGUAAAAGGGACAUGAAAAAGUAGGAGUGGGUAUUUAUCGGUUAGAUGCCCAUGUCCACACUGGAGUGCCUGGUUUCAAUUUCUGGCUGCUAUUCCUGACCCCACUUGCAGAUCCUGCAAGUCGGUACUGGUGGCUCAAAUAACUGUGUUCUUGCUGUCCACGUGGGAGAGCUGGAUUUGUUUCAAGCUUCUAGCUCCAUCCCUCAUUCAUCCCCAGCCAUUGUGAGUGUUUGGGAGUGAACACGUGGAUGGGUCUGUGCUAUCUCUUUCUUUCUGCCUUGCAAAUAAAUAAUAAAAGUGCAAAUAUGGAAGAGAAACAGUUUAAGGACUUAGAGUAUAAUGCUUUAUAAGUGUUAGCUGUUAUCAUUCAUCAACAACAAUUUGCUGUCUACCAAUUACAUGUAUUCCUCGCCAAACGAGUUAGUCUUUAUGAGUUGGAUGGGUCUAUUUUCAGUUAUGAUAGCUUACCUUCUUUCACUUAAACUUCCUGAGAUUGUAAGUACUGUUUUAGAAUGUGCAUGAGUAACUGAGUAUGCCUGUUCCUGAAUUAACGUUGUAUCUGAUAAUUUGGAGGAGGUAGAAAAGUGAAGAUGGCAUUUUAUAAUCAAAUGGAAAUUUAUCUGUGUAUUUAAUAUUCUUAAACUCCUAUGAAGCCUCCAGGUAGGAGUCCCAUGGGUGGGGCAUCAUGUUGUUCAGUGAUGCUGCUGAGUGUCUCAACCAUCAGGAAGGACAGUGCCCACUGUCCUCUCCAAGUCCCCCUUUCCCACAUACCAGAUUUCACCUCUGUCUCUUCUUACAGUUAUUCUUACAUCCUUGGCCUUGAGCUUUAUUCUGUCACUGCAGUGUCAAUCAAGAUUCUUUCUGUCACAGAGGCAGAAAAUCCAGUGGAGGCAGGGUAUUUAACGACCGAGGUAUGUGUAAAAUUCAAGGCCUGCAGGUCUGAGGGCUUCUCAGUCAGCAAUGCCAGGCCUACAGCCUCCUCCUUCGGUCUGGCAGGAGGGACGCUGUGCCCGGUACUGGUAUCCACCAAAGUCCCAUUGCCUUUCAUUAACUUUUUGGAUCACAUGUCAGUUCUGAACCCAUCUCAGAGGCCAUGGGAAAAAUAUCCUGAGUCACAGAGCUGCCCCUGGAGCGAAGAGUAAAAUACGUUCCAUGCAAAAGACAAAGCACGACGCAAGGAAAAUAAAUAUAGAGGAUAUUAGUUUGUUACUGUUAGCAGAUGGAUGAAUGAACAUAAAAAACAAUACUGGCUUACUAUACUCACCCUGAAGUUCCAAACCUGCCAAAUCCACUCUCAAACAACCCAGGUCCUUUUAGUCUCUUUCGUGAAGUCUACAACCUGUCUGUGCCUUCAACACUCUCAACUGCCAAUGUCUGUUCAUACCACGCCUCCUCCUGCAUUCAUAUCUGCACCUUGUCUACAAAACGUCUUCGUUGUCUUGUGACUUUAGAGUCCCUGCCUGCUUCCCUUGUCCAUCUUACCUACAUUUUUUCCAUUACUGAAAGUUCAGCUCAAAGGCUACCUCAGAAGGAAUCAGCAAAGUCAGUAUUAUGAGUAUCCUCAUUUCACAGAUGAAGAAACUGUAUGAUGAAGAGAAUGUGAACUUAGCCAAGGUCAUAUUGUCAGUAGGUGAGCUGGUUUGACUUUACCUUAGGAAUUCUGAUUCCAGAAUUGUUUUUAACUGCAUGCUCUCGCCUACAGGAAACAUGAGGGCCACCUUAACAUCAACACCACAUACAUGAAAGCAAGUAUAGUAUAAGAAAAUGUACUAUGUUUGAAAUUUUAUUUACCCUAAUUUUCUCUACAAGAACAAGGCUGUUUCCCAUUGACAGAGUAUUUUGUUCCUGUCUUGUCUAAAAUUUGUAUAAUGCAAGAAUCAAGCAGAUUAGUGACUUUUAAAAAUUAAGACAUGGUUAAUUUUUACGAAUUUUACCAUCUCCUUUAUAGGAGCUAAAAGGUAAAAGCCACUGCAUACACAUUUGUUAACUGCUUCUUCUUUGUCACAUGUUAGUUAUCCAAAGAAAAACAAAACUCUGUCUAUAGUCUCUGGUAGUUUGCUGUCUACUAAGAAGAUGGACUUGUAAAAAAAUUCCAACAUUAUAUAUUGUCAGUCUCAAAAUUUGAAGAAGGUAUUUAGCCUUUUGUGAGACAGGAGUGGAGCAAUCCAAUAAUAAUAAAAAAAGAAAAACAAGAUUUCAAGUGCUAGUGCUGUCACAGAGGAAUGACUCAUCAUUACGACAACCUAUUCAAGAUCUAAUCCUUUUUUUCACUCAACAACUGUGUAAUCCAGGCACUGUGCCAUGUGCUGAGUAUAAAACUGUGAACACAACCGUAUAGUCCUUGCCUCCAUGACAUCCGUCGUGGGUAGGAAGGGAUCAGUGAAAACACAGCUGCAUACAUCUAUCACUGGACACACUGUGACAGUUGCUAGGAAGCAGGGAGAGCAAGGGCUGUGACAGAGAAGAGCAGAGGGCACACACGUGUGCGGGGGUUAUCUGUGCGAUGAGGCAUCCGUUCAACCUGAAACCUGAAGAAGGAAAGGAAGAGAGACAGAGGGAGCCUUCGCCGAGGCGGGAUGAAGAAGCAGAGAGGAGGUGCCGAUGUCCAGGACUUGCAAUGGUCAAGCAGAGUCAGAGUCCGGUGGGUGCCGACGGUGAGGCUGGAGAGGCAGGGAGCACCAGGAACACCUGGCCUUGCGGCCGUGAGAUGUGGCAUUGAUUCUGAGCAGAACGGGAGACCACUGACGGUUUCAAACAGAGGCUGAGGAGCAGCUGGAGAAACAGAUGCUAUCUGUACUGGGAGGGUUCCAUUGUGCGUCUUGACAUUUCCUGAAGUCUGCGCACCAGUGGUCUGCAGCGAUCCCACCUCCACGUCCUCCCCGCCCCCCAUGGAAAAGCAGUCCUCAGCCUUCCUCCCACACUGCGCCUCUCCCGGAUCCUCUCCCUCUGCCUGGAGGAGCAGACACGGGAAACCCACACUUCAGCACUAUUCUGCGCCUGAAACCAGACAUUGUUUGCACAAAGGACUGAUAAUCCUUUCCCACUUCCCUGGUUCUGGAGAUAAACACUUGUGGAUUUAUG
Non-coding RNA from Oryctolagus cuniculus (rabbit), 9324 nucleotides. The record is from RefSeq and is a predicted model, not a curated record. NCBI's taxonomy places the organism in Eukaryota, Metazoa, Chordata, Mammalia, Lagomorpha, Leporidae.